AAGAGUGGAGGAGUGCAGCACAAAGAAGCAGUGUGAUCGCUGAGAACAGACAAAAGAGGAGGCAGGAUGAGAAGCGGUACGGUGGUUUUGGCACUAAUGAUGGUGCUGGCUGUUGUCUUCUUUGCCAACAACUCCUUCGCCCAAGAUGAGGUUAAUUACCAGGCACCAAGCGAAGACGAUGCUGUUGGUACUCGAUGGCCGUGCUGCAACAAUUGCGGUCCAUGCACCAGAUCUAUACCGCCACGAUGCCAAUGCCUCGAUGUAGUGAAGGCCUGCCAUCCAAAGUGCAAAAAUUGCGUGCGGUUGCCCUUCCCGAUCAUCCCGCCGAUCUUCCAGCCACGGUACCAGUGCAGGGACUGGAUCCUCAACUUUUGCAAGCGCAAGUGCGACCCCAAGCCACUCAACGACGAGUAGCAGCACUGCCGAGUCGCCAACCGUUGCGCGCAUCCCCGCAUCUCUAUUUCUAUCUACGUAAAUAAACUUGUUGCCGUGAGUUGGGUUAUAAUUCAGCCAGUGUGGUGUGCUUCCUGUACUUUAAGAUGUGUGCUGUACCAUGUUUUCGAUCUAUUAAAUAAUGAUCAGCUCUCGGGGCUGUAAUUUGGAAUUUGUUGGAA
This is a non-coding RNA of Elaeis guineensis (African oil palm), 614 nucleotides long. The record is from RefSeq and is a predicted model, not a curated record. Lineage: Eukaryota; Viridiplantae; Streptophyta; Magnoliopsida; Arecales; Arecaceae.